This 253-nucleotide ribosomal RNA is filed under the name uncultured bacterium. Its description in RNAcentral is "partial 16S ribosomal RNA". It matches the Rfam family "Bacterial small subunit ribosomal RNA", at positions 524 to 776 of the family's 1533-position model. The record is from RNAcentral.
UACAGAGGGGGCAAGCGUUGUUCGGAAUUACUGGGCGUAAAGGGCGCGUAGGCGGCCUUCUAAGUCGAACGUGAAAUCCCCGGGCUCAACCCGGGAACUGCGUCCGAUACUGGAAGGCUUGAAUCCGGGAGAGGGAUGCGGAAUUCCAGGUGUAGCGGUGAAAUGCGUAGAUAUCUGGAGGAACACCGGUGGCGAAGGCGGCAUCCUGGACCGGCAUUGACGCUGAGGCGCGAAAGCCAGGGGAGCGAACGGG